GCUGACCAGCAAUGGUCACAGGCGUUCGAACUUUUGUAAAUUUGGUCGACUAGAGGAAGAAGAAGUCGUAACAAGGUUUCCGUAGGUGAACCUGCGGAAGGAUCAUUAGCGUUAUGGGAUUUUGUAAUCCUUUGGUUAAAUGUGGAAUUUGAACAAGUGACUUGGUAAUCUUUACGAAUUGGAAACGUUUGGCUUAUGGAUACAUUUAUAAAAAAUACAACUCUUAGCAAUGGAUAUUCUUGGUUCCCACAACGAUGAAGAACGCAGCGAAAUGCGAUACGUAAAUGCGAAUUGCAGGACUCAGUGAAUCAUCGAAUCUUUGAACGCAUGUUGCGCUUUCGAGAGCCCUCGGAAGCAUGCCUCUCUGAGUAUCGGUUCCUAUAUCACAUCUUGAUGUGGACAAUGAGAGUCGAUUCGUUCGUCUCUUGAAAUCAUGUCGGCACCGAAAGUCCAUCGGAUUCUUGGAACGAUAAUCCGCCAUGGCGCCCGAACCAUACAAGAUCUCAGAUGAGGUAAGAUUACCCGCUGAAUUUAAGCAUAUCAAUAAGCGGAGGA
Molecule: ribosomal RNA, 555 nt
Filed under: Polymyxa betae
Lineage: Eukaryota; Endomyxa; Phytomyxea; Plasmodiophorida; Plasmodiophoridae
Description: eukaryotic LSU rRNA
Rfam family: 5.8S ribosomal RNA (bases 219-374)
Source: RNAcentral